Molecule: ribosomal RNA, 497 nt
Filed under: uncultured bacterium
Lineage: Bacteria
Description: partial 16S ribosomal RNA
Rfam family: Bacterial small subunit ribosomal RNA
Source: RNAcentral
GAUGAACGCUGGCGGCGUGCCUAAUACAUGCAAGUCGAGCGAACGGACGAGAAGCUUGCUUUUCUGAUGUUAGCGGCGGACGUGUGAGUAACACGUGGAUAACCUACCUAUAAGACUGGGAUAACUUCGGGAAACCGGAGCUAAUACCGGAUAAUAUUUUGAACCGCAUGGUUCAAAAGUGAAGGACGGUCUUGCUGUCACUUAUAGAUGGAUCCGCGCUGCAUUAGGUAGUUGGUAAGGUAACGGCUUACCAAGGCAACGAUGCAUAGCCGACCUGAGAGGGUGAUCGGCCACACUGGAACUGAGACACGGUCCAGACUCCUACGGGAGGAAGCAGUAGGGAAUCUUCCGCAAAGGGCGAAAGCCUGACGGAGCAACGCCGCGUGAGUGAUGAAGGUCUUCGGAUCGUAAAACUCUGUUAUUAGGGAAGAACAUAUGUGUAAGUAACUGUGCACAUCUUGACGGUACCUAAUCAGAAAGCCACGGCUAACUACGUG